Molecule: non-coding RNA, 89 nt
Organism: Melanomma pulvis-pyrius CBS 109.77
Lineage: Eukaryota; Fungi; Ascomycota; Dothideomycetes; Pleosporales; Melanommataceae
Source: the annotation of a GenBank genome assembly
GGUUGUGUAGUGUAGUGGUUAUCACUCCAGAUUCUGAUCAUUACGAGAUGAAUCUUCUGGCGACCCCGGUUCGACUCCGGGCACGACCU